This is a long non-coding RNA of Scylla paramamosain (green mud crab), 1534 nucleotides long. RefSeq lists it as uncharacterized. NCBI's taxonomy places the organism in Eukaryota, Metazoa, Arthropoda, Malacostraca, Decapoda, Portunidae. The transcript is spliced from 6 exons. The record is from RefSeq and is a predicted model, not a curated record.
UGUUGGCCUUUGAAGCACGGACGCCCAGCACUCUGCCGCCACCAUCAGCACUAACGUGAUCGUCACCUCGAGCGGGGAGGUGACGUGGCUGUCUCACGGCAUCUACAAGUCCUCCUGUGACAUGAACGUGGAGUUUUUCCUCUUUGAUGUCCAGUCCUGCAAGAUGUGGGCGUCCUGGACCUACGACGGCUACCAGCCCUUUUGGUGUUCCACGUGCCGAGCGAAUCCGGGGAGAAGGUGACUCAGGGCAUCUCGGCGCUGCUCUCCAUGACUGUCUUCCUCAUGACCAUCAGAGUCCCUGCCGCCCACUGAGAAGACACCGCUCGUCACCAUUCGCCCUGCGCCCGCUGACGUGAUGUGACGGGUCUCCGGUUGUGUUGCAGCGGUGAGGUGGUGUUGCAUCUUUUCUCAGCGGGCGUGUUGUGGUGGAGUGCGGUGUGGAGGGAGAGGUGGAUAGGAGAUAAUUGGUGGGCUGUGUGUGGUGAGUGCCACAUUGUCUGUGAGGGACCCUCAGAGCCACACAGCACCAGCUGCAACAGCUACAGCAGCAGCAGCAGCAGGAGGAAAUGGCAUCCACCUUCUACCUCACCCAGUGUCACUGGGGCCUCCUCCUCCUCCAGCAGCUGGCCAGGGUGCAGGGACAGGAUGAGCAAGCAGGUGGUGACAGAGAGGGUGGCCAGCUUGUCCCUCCCUCCUGCCACCCAGCCACAGCACUGGCAGCUGCUGCAGUGAGACUGCCCAGGCACAAGUUUGUGCACGUGUCCAGGACGUGAAGGUGAUGGGAACGUGUCCUGUAGGAGGAAGCAGAGCUGUAACAGUACCCGAGUCUGCUGCUGUGCUGGGAGAAGGAGAAAAACAUCAGCAGUAGUUAGUAGUGGUAGUAGAAGUAUUCAGCAGUGGUGGGGCUCUGCUGCUGCUGCUGCUGCUGCUGGCAGUGGUGCAGCUGUUCACUCCUCUACAGCUGCUGCCUUCCCUCAACAUACUGUGUCUUCCCUCACCUACAAUGAACAACUAUGAACAAUACCUCUCGUGCAAUCAGGCAGCGCUCAGCUGUACUCACCGAUAGACUGACCACUAAGAAUUACCUGUGGGCCACAUGACAAGGCCCACGCCAGCCAGGCUUGGUUGCCAAUCAAUAAUAAUAACAACAACAACAGCAGCAACAUCUCGUGCAAUGAAGAACACUGAAUAACAACAACACCUCUCCCCUGCAUCAUCAACAAUUAACAACAUCUGCUUUGUUUCACUGAUGCUGGCCUGUCUCUCUCUCUCUCUCUCUCUCUCUCUCUCUCCUCUCCUCUCCUCUCCUCACCUCACCUCACCUCACCUCAGGCCACAGCGCCACAGUAUGUCCCCCCACAGUAUGUUUACAAACCCACAGUGACUCCCCACAGCCCCUCACCAAUAAGUGACCCCCUCACACACACACACACACACACACACACACACACACACACACACACAGCAUAACAUACACAAACGUUGCAUCUUGUACAAUGGCCACAAUAAAGAAUGGACACACAAAAUGGACAAA